Molecule: long non-coding RNA, 4178 nt
Organism: Cercocebus atys (sooty mangabey)
Lineage: Eukaryota; Metazoa; Chordata; Mammalia; Primates; Cercopithecidae
Exons: 3
Source: RefSeq, a predicted model, not a curated record
UAGUCUGCAUUUGCUAAUUCUAAUAUCUGCAUUAGUUGCAGGUUUGUUUUAGCUGUGAUUUUUUACAUAAAGCCCUCCCUUGCCUACACACAAACAACACACACACACACACAAACACACACACACACACACACACCCCGGGAAAUUUACCUGUAGAUUAUUUGAGGCCUGGGCUGAAGCUGAGUUUCUCUAAGAGGGCUUUGCUUCAGUUACCACUUUAAAUUAAGUUCCUGGAUUCAAAUUUUUCAGACUGCCAAGAUAGAGUGGAUUCAGACUGAAACGUUGGUCAUGUAAGGGCUAGCUUGUGGUUAUAAAGUCUCAAGGACGAUUUUAUUAUCUUACCACUUACUGCCAAGAUCAAGUCAACUAAGAUUUCCUGCUGUUCAUUGCUGUGUGCUGGGUUUAUUUCUCAUCUGCUCUUAUACUGCUGGGGUCCAGAUUUACCUGAAGUCUCCUAUGAGAAUAUUCAGUUGCUUCCCCUUUUAUUAAAUUGUUCUUCAGAUUCCUUCAUUUUUUAUCAGUCCAGUGAUGCGCUAAAGCAAAAGGCGAAUUGGAUGUCCAGAUUUGAGCAAAGAGCAGACUGAAGGUUGGGGAACAUUAAAUAGAAGUCAAAGAAUAUGCAAGGGCGCUUCUGGGCAUGACCUAUGAAUGGACAAAUUCCACACUGAUAUUUCCCCUAAAAAGUAAGUAUGUUCAUUAGUAAGACCAUGUUAGCCCCUGGAAGGGAUCCUCUUGAGUCAAGUUUAGCUCAGUUUAGAAACCGGCCAUGCCUACAAUUAGUUUCUGUCCUUAUUUUUUAAUGUGAUUAUUCUUGCAUGUGAAGCUAAAGGAACCCAGAAUUAGUUGACAGGCUUUUUACUUAAAAUGGUUGCCUUUAAAGCAAUUUCCCCAGUUAAUUUGUUUUACUGCCAUCAGUUAAACUGAGGUUAAAAGAAGAAAUAUCUCCAAUAAACUACUGCCAAUCAAGCACAAUUAUCCACUGCUAUGGCAGCAAUUCUAGACCAUAAAAGAACUUCCAAUGCUUCUUGAAAUCAAAAUAUGAGAGGAUGAAAUUAUUUUCCAUUCAGUCAUUAUUAUCUUCUUUGGAUGAAAAGUUUCAAUUUCACCAGAUUCCUCAGAUUUGUUUCUUUUUAGUGUUUUGUUCAAAAGUUGACCCCCACCCCACCCGGAUGGUUUCAUUUCCAAGAACAAAUAAGCAUUCCCACUAACCACUGCCGGCAGCUGGGCUUGUUCUUGGGCAGAGGUCUCAGUGCCUGCUUGUACACAAUAAUUUUUCAAAAGGUAGGAAACCAAUUUCUGGCUUAGAGAGAACUUAGGGAAAAGAAAACAAACAAACAAACAAAAAAGCUAAACACAACUUACCUUCUCUUUGACCUAUUUAUAACAUAUCUGUGCAUUCAGUAUGUAAGUCCAUUAAUACUUUGAGCCCUUAAUAAACAAGGGAAGCCCACCCAGCUUCACUGCACAUAUGCUUAUGAGCUCACCUGAUUUUAAUAUAACUAGCCCCCUUUCUGUACUCUCUCCACCACAUUGAAUGGAAAACUGAACGACUUCUUCACUCUAAAGUUCCACUAGCUCUUUGUGUCUUUUAAGGAGCCAUUUACUUUAUUGAAACAGUGAUUGGAAAAGUGUUUCAGUGCCUAAAAGAUUUGCUCUGGUUCAGAGUUUAAACAAGAGGUGGAGGCUUUGCUAAGGCACUGAGGGGAGUAUGGCUGUAAUAAACCCAUUCUCUCGUUCUCAUUAGGGGUUGGCCUCAGUGUUGGCGCAGUCUUUCUACGGAGUAUAUGAGUUUUUCACACACUACAGAUAACACCCUUGUCUUCAUAUUGUGUCUUUUUGCACACAUGAGUAUAUCAGGGACAUUUUUAUGGAGGCUUCUGCAGUCUCAGCUCAUACCAAUACAAAAAAAAAAAAAAUACCUUCUUUGGGUGUUGUGGAAGAAUAAGAGAGUCAGUGAUGUUUUUCCAGUGGAGUCUGCCAUUCUGACCUUCUUCGUAACAGGUGGGAAAAGUUUUCUUUUAUACUUUGCCCUUCUUCCAUAGAGGUUCAACACCACUGGCAGGACUAGGUGAUGAGAGAAUGAACUGAAGGUUUCUGGAAAGUGAGUUUGUGUGAGUGAAGACAAACGAAUAUGAGCCAUUGUGAUGUCCUGGCAAUCUCUCAUGUUUGGGUCUUUUGCUGUUCUAUGUUCCCAAUAUUUUGGCAUCGAUUCAUUCAGGAAUGUCUAAUUGGCAGAACAUGUUGUAUACACGGAUUGUUUUGGUUUAUUUUUGGCUACAGUAUUUAUGAUACUUACUUCUCCUCCGAUUUGUAAGAAUUCAACUCGAAGAAAGACAGUCAAUGAGGCUUGUCUGAGGAGUUGGCCACAGAGGAUCCCAUAUUCUAGACCAGUUUCUGCCACAUGGUGGGCUGCAAAAUAGGCCUGUGGAUUGGACAGUCUCUUUUGUGUUGCUCUAUAAUACCAACUGCUCUUUCAGUCUUUAAGUCCCAUAGCUCUCAGAUAGUGUCACUUAAGACUUAGGCUAACACUAAAGGUCUGGGGCCUUCUACUUAAGCAAGAAGACAACAAGAGAACUUAGAUCAGUGCUAGGUGAACUUCCAUAGCACUACAUGAUAUAGUUUGGAUCUGUGUCUCCACCAAAUCUCCAUCAAAUUGUAAUCCCCAGUGUUGGAGGUGGGGCCUGGCAAGAGGUGAUUAACUCAUGGGAGCGGAUUUCUCAUGAAUACUUUAGGAUUCUCCCUCUUGGUACUGUCCCUGUGAUAGUGAGUUCUCAUGAGAUCUGUUCGUUUAAAAGUGUGUGGCACCUUCCCCUUCUCUCUCUCCUGCUUCUGCUCCUGCCAGCUAAGAAGCCUGACCCCCUUCACUUUUUGCCAUGAUUGUAAAUUUCCUUAGGCCUCCCUGGAAGCCAAGCGGAUGCCAGCACCAUGCUUCCUGCACAGCCUGCAGAACUGUGAGCCAAUUAAACCUCUUUUCUUUACAAAUUACCCUGUUUCAGGUAAUUCUUUAUAGCAAUGUGAGAAUGGACUAAUGCACAACUGGUGUCAAAUUUUCCUCUAAUUUGGUCUUGAGGUCUCGCUCUCCGGAGAGUGACUAUAAUUCUAGCCCUGACCUGAUGGCUCCAGGGGAGGUGGUCGUGGAUGUUUACAGAAUGCCUUUCAUGGGAUGCUCCUUUAUCCUGGUGGAUGGCCUAAUACCUAAGUGUCUAACUUCUGAUCAGGUGUUUCUCUUAUAGGAAACCUGUUUAUACUAGCAGGUGCCCUUGAAGCUCUUGGCUGGCCUGUGUUCAGUUUAUUCCAACAAAGAUAGCCACUCUCUAGGAGGGCCCUGAGCAGGAGGAGAGUUGUGCUCGGGUGUGCCCAUCAGGUGAGAUGCAAAGAAGGCCACACAACAAAACACAUGAAAUAACACAAAUGGUGUAUUACUUAACAGAUUCAGAGAGAAGAUGGCAGCACACUUUGCAGGGCCAAUGUGAAGGGGAGAAUGGGGACACUCGGCUCAAGCAGAAGGUGAGAAGCAAAUAAGAGAGAAAGAAGGACUGUGGUGCAAAGUCUUCACUGGGGUCCAGGGCAUUACCCAAGCAGAUUACCUGCAGGGAGUUCUAAUUAGUUGACUUACAGCAAGCAGGCACAAGUUUUGUGAAUCACUGUGACCUGUCUGAAUAGUCCAUGCAAGGUGUGGGGAUCAGUGGGGUGAGUCAAGAGAAUUGUAUCCAUCUGUCCUUAGGGAGGUGGUUUUACUGGGAGGUGGUUGUCUAAGGCAGAUAUCUGGAUUGAUCCUAUUGAAAUUUGGGAGGAGUUGAAGAACGGGAAACUGUGUUCAAAAGUGACUAAGUUCUACUUUUGUUAUGAGAAAGUACAACUCUUAUUCAAAAUUACAAGAAUUCAUUCCAACCAGUCACUCUAGGACCUUGGUAUUCUAGCCCUCCAGGACUUGAGUUUGCCUUUUCUGCUGGCUUUUCCUUUUUGUCCUUAGGUCUCCAUUCACCAGGCUCCUAAUUGGUUCUUCUAGUCCUUCCACUGAAUGAAGUUCCACCUCUGAACUCCAGUCAUCUUGUGACUUUGUAUACAUUAUCAUGGAAAAUCUCCUGUGAAACUACAUAUGUACAGUUCAACUUGAAACUUUAAGGUUGAUUGACUGCAUUUUUUUGGCUCAAGCCACCACUGCUGAAUAAAUGAAA